Molecule: ribosomal RNA, 253 nt
Filed under: uncultured bacterium
Lineage: Bacteria
Description: partial 16S ribosomal RNA
Rfam family: Bacterial small subunit ribosomal RNA
Source: RNAcentral
UACGUAGGGGGCAAGCGUUGUCCGGAAUCAUUGGGCGUAAAGAGCGCGUAGGCGGCCCAGUAAGUCCGCUCUGAAAGUCAGGGGCUCAACCCCUGAAUGCGGGUGGAUACUGCUGGGCUAGAGUCCGGAAGAGGCGAGUGGAAUUCCUGGUGUAGCGGUGAAAUGCGCAGAUAUCUGGAGGAACACCGGUGGCGAAGGCGACGUCCUGGACCGGCAUUGACGCUGAGGCGCGAAAGCCAGGGGAGCAAACGGG